Non-coding RNA from Ornithorhynchus anatinus (platypus), 126 nucleotides. NCBI's taxonomy places the organism in Eukaryota, Metazoa, Chordata, Mammalia, Monotremata, Ornithorhynchidae. The record is from Rfam.
GUGUCUCUUAAGCACUUACUGUAAGCACUCCCCUUGAAAAGGAUGGACAGGGUCCUACCGGCCUUUGAAACACAUAUAUGGCUAAGGAAUUGCCACUUACUUCGUGGCAUCUAACCAAGUUUUUAG